This is a non-coding RNA of Papio anubis (olive baboon), 84 nucleotides long. The record is from Rfam. NCBI's taxonomy places the organism in Eukaryota, Metazoa, Chordata, Mammalia, Primates, Cercopithecidae.
UAUUAGGUUGGUGCAAAAGUAAUUGAGGUUUUUGCCAUGGAAAAUAAUGGCAAAAACCUCAAUUACUUUUGCACCAACCCAAUA